Molecule: long non-coding RNA, 828 nt
Filed under: Mus spicilegus (steppe mouse)
Lineage: Eukaryota; Metazoa; Chordata; Mammalia; Rodentia; Muridae
Description: lncRNA (ENSMSIG00000012257.1)
Source: RNAcentral
CCUCGGCCAGGAUUGGUGGAGACCUGGACCCGAAUUCUUCUGGGUUGCUGGAAAGGGGCUCUGAGCUGGUGGCUGGCCAGGGAGCCACAUUGUCCAAACUCUUUCGGGGUCGGGGUUGAGGAAGUAUUUAAAUUUCUCUGCUCAGUCCCGAGGACUCCAGUCUUCUCUCCACUCGCCUAUAAGGUUUCUUCCCUUCAAAGUCGGUUUCACCUGUUGCCACGAGGCUUUCCUCAGGCUGUAUAUUAAACCCCUCGCAAGUGUGUGCCUUCAGCUCUGCAAUUAUCAGCUCCAGGAAGUCUGGGUCUGCCUGCUUUCCUCCAUGGGUAGCAUUCGUCAACUACCGGGAGUGGUUUUCUGAAGGCUGCAGAUAAACAAAGCCCUGUUUAGAGGAUUGGGCCGGGCCUGAGAAAGCUGGGCAAGGUAGGAACUGCUCAGGCUGGGAGAGCAGGAGAACAGGUUCUAGGGCAUUGUGGGUCUGGGGUUGGACGGAGCCAGCUAGCUCUGCAUGAUCUGGAGGAACAGGAGGAUGGUUUGUGCUCAGCUUGAGAAAAUCUACACACAAGCAUAACAUCGUUGUUUACUAGCGAUUGGGCUAGUGUCCUGGGUUCCACUAGGGUACUUCCAUGUGGCAUGUAAUGGAAUUCAAACAAUUCACUCCAUCCCCUCCGCAUUCCCCUCCCUCCCACACUCUUGCACUUUCUCCCCCCUAGACUUCAAAAUAUAAAAGAAAACACGAAAUUCUUGUCUUUCUUUUUUUUUUUGAGGGUGCCUUAUUUUGCCUAACAUAAUUUCCAUUUCUAUCCAUUGAAACUGAGUAAUUUCAUGGAG